CUGAUCUUAUUUUUGGAUAUAAGCAGAGAGGAAAGGUAAUAAGCAUCUCUACACUUGCAUUUGAUCCCCAGCAGUGCUGUUGUAGUACAAAUAUGUUUUGGUUUGAAAUAAGGAUAGUGUCUUCUUUUUACUCUUGAACAUAUAUACAGGAUCUGUGAACACAAACUGAGCUGUUAUUUUUGCCUUCUUAUUGAAGUGUCUUCUAUCUAGCCACCAGUUCAUUAUUUGACUGCCGAGCAAUUUGACAGCUGGUUCUUCGUCUUGUGUGCGCGGUAAUACAGUAACGUGUCGUGAUAACAUUGUCGCUGUUGGUCUCGUGGCAUCUUCCGAAGGUAGAUGCGAGCUGGGCCUCCGCUCGAUCUCCUUCUGAUUCCUGCAUGGAUCUGAAAAGAAACUUGGAUAUGUUUGACUAUAGUGCAAUGCAAUUCCUGAAUGGAGCAGAGCAGAGCAGAGCAGGGCGAGAGGCGAGGCGACCAGUCUCCACUUCUGCUGCUUGGUCCAAAAACCGUUAUAAAAAGUCGCGGGGUUCUCGAGACGGGAUUUUGUUUGCGGGCGAGGACAGGGCGGGGGGCGCGCAAGGGCGAGGCCACGUUCGCCUCCUCCGCGGGAAGCGCCGCGCCGCCCCGCGACACGACACGCAUGUGCCGCCCCGCGUUUGACUCGGCGCCGAUUGGCAGGCAGCUCGCCGGCCUCGGAAUCGGAUCCCCCUUCGCGCUCGCCGGGUCAGCGACAGCGCGAGGAUUGUUUACGCCACCUUGGCCGGCAGCGUCACCCGUCCCCAUGUGACCCCCAACCGGGCCGGCGACCCGGCCGUCCGUCCGUCCGUCUCUAUAUAUAAGGAAGCUAGCAGCGGCGUGGUCGAUCACCAUGUGCAUGGUGUGUUGAGCUAGCUGCCUGUCGCGCCGUGGGAGCCGAUCGAGAGCGUGUGAGCCCGGCCUCUUCUGCGCGGCGGCGGAUGGACCGGAUCGGAGGAAUGGUGUGGUGUGAGUUGAGUGAAGUGCCCAAGAUAAAGGGUGAAGCUGCCAGCAUGAUCUAACGACGGCAUUGCUCUGCUGCUGCAGUGAGGCUUGCGAGUGAUGGUUAGAUCAUGCUGUGACAGUUUCACUCUUUCCCUUUGGGCACAUCGAUCUCUUCCCCUCCUCUCUCUCUUUCAAUUCUCUCCCCUUUUGCAAUCAGACUCGUCACUCGCGCACAAAUUCCACCACUCGCCACCCUCCGUAUGGGAGGCAAUCGUCGGGGAUUUCCGGCCCAACCACAGGUUGCACAGCCUCCGUGUCAGGAAUGCCACACCGGCCUUUGGAAGGCCCACGGAGCGGCUUUGACGGGCAGAAAUAGAAAGGAAAAAAAAAAACACGACACCUCCCCCCUCUGCGCCGCCCUCACCCACCGCCGUCGCCACCUCUCUCACCGCGGAACAAGACGCUGAGGAAGAAGAGCCGGUACGGAGACGGCAAGAAGACGCGGAGCAGUACGUACGUCUCCGAUCUGGUGAGCUUCCACCCUUUUUUGCAGCACUUGAGCGUCAGCCGAGAUUAGCGAGGUAGUGCGCACGUCUUCAGGUACUCGAUCAACACAUCCAGCGAUCAUGAAGGGUAGAGCGCGUGGCGCGGCUAGAACGUUGGCUAU
This 1626-nucleotide long non-coding RNA is filed under the name Zea mays. Its description in RNAcentral is "long non-coding RNA (ZMAY_LNC002893)". The stretch from base 1002 to 1116 matches the Rfam family "MIR167 microRNA precursor family". The record is from RNAcentral. Lineage: Eukaryota; Viridiplantae; Streptophyta; Magnoliopsida; Poales; Poaceae.